This 85-nucleotide transfer RNA is filed under the name Puniceicoccales bacterium. RNAcentral describes it as "tRNA-Leu". It matches the Rfam family "tRNA". Rfam says of the family: Transfer RNA (tRNA) molecules are approximately 80 nucleotides in length. Their secondary structure includes four short double-helical elements and three loops (D, anti-codon, and T loops). The record is from RNAcentral. Lineage: Bacteria; Pseudomonadati; Verrucomicrobiota; Opitutia; Puniceicoccales.
GCCCGGAUGGCGGAAUUGGCAGACGCGCCUGACUCAAAAUCAGGUUCCGAAAGGAGUGUGGGUUCGAGACCCUCUCCGGGUACCA